CUCCACAGUUCAUAACCGUUGGCUGGUUAUGAACCGUUCAUAACGGGCGUUAAUAACCAUACCCUGUUAGACUAAGCAUGGUCCACCCGCGAAUCCUCUACAGAGAUGGCCAAGCGCUGGGGUCGUGGCUGCGUCCUCUAGGCCAGGCCUUGGUGGGCAGCUGUUGACAUGUCCAGAACCCCAGGAAGUGCUGAAGGUACCUGCAGUUCAGGCCCCAUGGAAGCCCAGACCUCCUUCACCCUUCGGGGACACUGAAAUUGGCCAAAUGUUUAGGCCAUGAGGAUGGCUGCUGAGUAAGCCCAUAAUCCCUACAUCGGACACAAGUAAGCAGGUGAAGGCCUACAGGUAGCAGCCUUGUGCAAAGGACCUUCUCACCACAGAUCAGCCAGACCAUCUUCCUCCUUCCAAGUCAUCAAAGAGUUCCAAGCUGGUCACCUGUCCCUUGAUGUUCCCAGGAAACCAGGAAAGAGGACCCCUGCAUUUUAUCUUCCCAUCCAGAGUGGCAGGAUCUCUGCCUGGGAAACAGGCUUCAUUCAGCACAGCUGUGGUAGCAUUAACAAAGCAAAGUGGGCACAUGUAGAAGUUGAAGCUAAAACAUUCAAGAACUCCAGUCUGUUUCUGUGGAUGUUAAGGGGGUGAAGAUAAAACAAUGGAGGUGAUGAGGAGGAAUAACUUGAAGACAGUUUAAAGCCACAGUGAUACAAAGAAUGAAGAGAAGGAAGGUGCUGGAUUUUACUAAGAAAACAGACUGAGUUCAGGAGUCUCACCAGUAGAACUUUAUAGUAUUGCGUUUCGAUUACAUGUGUGUGAAUUUUAAAAACUGAUUACCCUCCAGUAAAAAUGUGGAACCAAUUUGCAUUUGGAUUAAAACAUUAGGUUUGGGGACAAAAGUGGACCCCAUGCUGCCUGAGAUGAAGAGAGAGAGCAGGAUGGCAGAGGAAUCACCAGCUCAAGAAACCCCAAGACUUGGACAGUCUUCCAGCAGAAGAGGCCAGGGUCUCUCAGUGUACUACUCCAAACAGGCCUCUCCUAGAGAUGUAGUCUGGGAAGGUCCAAAACCCACCAGACAGGCACAUCCAGUGGGGAAAAGACUUCCCAUUCCAGUGUGGCCUGCAUCCCUCACCUCUGCUUCCCAGUCUUCUGCUGACCUCAGAGGAGCAGGGUGGCCAUUGCUGAUCUGGGUUAGGGAGAUGCCAGAAACACACCCAGGUUUGAACCACAGGUUAGUGGUACAAAGUCACAGUCCUUGUGCCUUCAGAAAACCCAGAGGCCCCAAAUACGAGUGGGAAGAGAGUUGGGAAAAACUGAACCAGACUCUUCCAAUGGCCAUUAA
Molecule: long non-coding RNA, 1333 nt
Filed under: Homo sapiens (human)
Lineage: Eukaryota; Metazoa; Chordata; Mammalia; Primates; Hominidae
Description: MORC2 antisense RNA 1
Source: RNAcentral